AAAAAAAAAGAUAGAGAAAUUAUUACUUGGUAUUGAUCUCUAAGAGGGUGAGACUUAUUAUUAUUUUUGCCGACAACUUGAUCUUCACUGCCAUUGCCCAUGCUUUCUUUCACAGUCGCCGUCGCCGCUUUGGUCUCUACUACUUUCUCAUUCACCACCUCCACCACCACUAUGACCUGAAGUAUCUAAAGAACUCUACAAAAAAAAAAGAGGAGAUAGAAUUGUGGGAGUUAGAAAAAAUGGAUGGUAGAGAAGAAGAAAAGACUUAUGGGCUAGAAAGAGGUGAAGCGGUGGACGUUGAGAAGAUGAGAAGAUACUAAAGUUAGGAGCUGAAAAAAAAAAAAUCCCACACCUCGUACUAAAUGAGAAUAGAAGAAGACACCAAAAUUAGAAGUUAAUAAAAAAAAUAGAAAAAAAUAAAUUGAUGCCACAUCUUUUGGCAAAUGAAAGAGGUCAUAAUUUAUUAUAAAAAAUGAGUAGACUUUUAUUUUCAUGACAUGCAUAGGAGAGAAUGGGACUUUUGUAUGAAUUUGUAUCGUUUAAGAUUAUAUUAGGAUUAGGAUAGGUGGAUGUAUUAAUUAAAUGUUAUAUGUAAAGGGAAGAUGAAGGGUUGGAUUUUUUGUGUGGGUUUCUAAGUUUACGGAACUUAUCUUCUUUCUUUUUUGAUUAUCUUCUGACGUUACAAAAAAGAAAUUAUGAGAUGGAAAGUCGAAGAGACAUACGAUAUGGAAAAGAAAUUAAUAAGACAGAAAUUAAUAAGACGAAAAGCCGAAGAAGUAGACGUUAUAGGGAAGGAAUUAAUAAAACGAAAAGUCGAAGAGACAGACGUUCAUAAGGUGAAAGCAAACAAUGAACGAAAUACUGCCAUGUGGCAUUUUUUAUGGGGAUUAAUGUAUAGGAAUAGAUUGUAUGCUAUUAUUUUUAUUUGGCAUACUUGUAAAUUAUCU
Molecule: long non-coding RNA, 947 nt
Filed under: Ananas comosus (pineapple)
Lineage: Eukaryota; Viridiplantae; Streptophyta; Magnoliopsida; Poales; Bromeliaceae
Description: long non-coding RNA (ACOM_LNC011567)
Source: RNAcentral